GAUUGAAGUCAGUCGUACCGACGGAGAAUCAGCUUUUGGGGUGCGUGAUUCGGGUAUUCGAGGAGUUUAAAAGCCCUCUUGUGCUUGCAGUUGUUGCGUGCUACUUGGGCGCACUUCUUCGUAUUGGUAGGUUAACAUCAAUUUUGGACGUUAUAAAAUGAUCGGAGGAAUGUAGCUUCGAUUUUUCGAAGUGUUAUAGCCUUUGGUAAAUGUGACGACCGGGAUUGAGGAUUGCAACGAAUGCUUUUUGGCUAUCCGUCUGGCCUUCUGAUGGUUUCUUUGGGAUCGAAAGCGUGCUUACGAUUCAAAGCUGGC
RNAcentral lists this ribosomal RNA (315 nucleotides) under uncultured Glomeromycotina. RNAcentral's name for it is "LSU rRNA". The record is from RNAcentral. Lineage: Eukaryota; Fungi; Glomeromycota.